UUGACUGGAGCACAUUGCAUCGCCAGGGAUCUUGAGGACCAGCGGUCGUCAGGGCACCCACUUGGGAAUUGCUGAGCUGGAAGAUUGGUGAUCUGAGAAACAGGAAAACACCCAUGAUGGGGCAGUGUGAAUGAAGCAAUUCUGAUGUUCUGCCCACUGAACAGGAGAUCAGGAAUUGGUCCUCCAGGAGCUGGUGUGCCAGAGCCCACAGGUCCAGGGGCUGGUCCUCAAGGAGUUGGUUUGGCUGAAUACACAGGUCCAAGUGGUGUUGAUGAGAAUUGUUGGAAUUCUUCAUGAAACGGAGCUUGAAGUUCCCACACCAAGAAACAUUUGUUGGGUGCUGAGGCCACAGUGGACAACACCCUUCUUGAGAUGAUCUCAUACACUUCCUGUGGUGGUAUCUUUCUUGCACAAAUAAAACCUGUCUAGGGGUCAGAGAAUGGAGCUUGCCACUAGCUAACCAUAGAGGUCUGGAGGUCUGUACAGAUAGGCAGGAAGUGAUGUAGCUGGGCAGAAACAGGGUAUAAGUAGUGAGAAAUGCUCUGUUCUGUCUGGAGAUGCUUAGUAGGUAAGGUGUGCUGUGGCUUGCUUCUUCUCUCUGAUCUCUCAGUGUUUCG
This 617-nucleotide long non-coding RNA is filed under the name Cricetulus griseus (Chinese hamster). RNAcentral's name for it is "lncRNA (ENSCGRG00000026200.1)". Lineage: Eukaryota; Metazoa; Chordata; Mammalia; Rodentia; Cricetidae. The record is from RNAcentral.